Molecule: long non-coding RNA, 530 nt
Filed under: Vulpes vulpes (red fox)
Lineage: Eukaryota; Metazoa; Chordata; Mammalia; Carnivora; Canidae
Description: lncRNA (ENSVVUG00000023072.1)
Source: RNAcentral
AUUUAUAGAGAACAAGAGCAAGAGAGCCCAAGCAGGAGGGGCAGAUGGAGAAGGAGAAUCUCAAGCAAACUCCAUGCUGAGCAUGGAGCCUGACACAGGGCUCCAUCUCAGGACAUGAGACCAUGACCUGAGCUGAAACCGAGAGCUGGAUGCUUAACUGACUUUGCCACCCAUGCACUCCAAGGAUGAAUAUAUUUUAAAGGCAUGAGGAGAGUGAAGUACAGAUUUAGAAUCCAUGGAAAUGAGAAUUUCAGGUUAAAAAGAAAAGAAACGAGUAGGAGGCAUUGGAGAGGAUUGGGUUGGACCAUCCUGAGCACUUUGCGGCUUGAUAAAUGGCAUCCUUGGAUGUGCCCCUGCCUUUGACACCACUUGUCCCCACCCUGUGCACCAACAAAGGGGUUAGCUGGAAGGCUUACAAUCUCUGACCAAGGUUGUGGAUAGAUCAAUAUGAGGUAGGCAUAGGCUGACCCUAUGUGUCUCAGUGAUUUAACUGUUUUGUUGUGCAAUCUGCUGAACAAGCCUGGUAACAA